This 98-nucleotide microRNA precursor is filed under the name Brassica oleracea var. oleracea. Its description in RNAcentral is "MIR9563 microRNA precursor family". It matches the Rfam family "MIR9563 microRNA precursor family". Lineage: Eukaryota; Viridiplantae; Streptophyta; Magnoliopsida; Brassicales; Brassicaceae. The record is from Rfam by way of RNAcentral.
GGAAUAUAAGAACCUUUCUCUUAACUUUUAACUAAAAAAGCUAAGAACCGGUUCUUAACUUUUUUAGUUAAAAGUUAAGAGAUGGGUUCUUAUAUUCC